GGAGCAAGUGGGGAGCCGUGUGCACUCUGCAGGAAGCGAGAGAGACGAGAGCUGAACAGUGUCGAGUGAACGCAGAGUUCAUAGAGGGCCGACGGACGUAUUUUCGGGUUGACGGAUAGUUAACUGGAGUGAAAAGCUGUUGUACCCUACUGUGAGUAGGAGGAGACGGACGUCUUGCUGGCGUGUCGGAGAAGUCCCUUCUGCUGGUGUGCUGAACUUAUGUGUUCACGUGGGAGCACGUGGCGAGGACGACUGUGAGUGCUGCUGCCGUGGCCUGCUGGUAGCCUUGACCCAGUUUCCCCUGCUAUCCCCUUGAACUGCCUGGAGGUGUGAGUACUGUUUGCACGUGCUUUUUAUUUUACUGCUUGGCAACAAGUGAAGCGACCAUAUUGUUUUAGGUCCCAACGCACCCGAGCCACGACUCAGGCCUGCAACGAGGGGUUGGCUAGCAGAAAGACUGUAGCACUUGAGUGACCACCCACCAGGAGUUUCACUGAUUCCAGACAUGAGUCACACCCAACCCACUCCCCCCCCCCAAGAAAAAAAAAGCCCAGCCGCUCCACUUCCCAUUUUGUCUCCAGAUUAAAGUCAGACAGCGCCG
Molecule: long non-coding RNA, 601 nt
Organism: Oreochromis aureus
Lineage: Eukaryota; Metazoa; Chordata; Actinopteri; Cichliformes; Cichlidae
Source: Ensembl